This 455-nucleotide ribosomal RNA is filed under the name uncultured bacterium. Its description in RNAcentral is "bacterial SSU rRNA". It matches the Rfam family "Bacterial small subunit ribosomal RNA", at positions 33 to 507 of the family's 1533-position model. The record is from RNAcentral.
ACGCUGGCGGCGCGCUUAAUACAUGCAAGUCGAACGAGAAGCCAGAGCUUGCUCUGGUGGAAAGUGGCGAACGGGUGAGUAACACGUGAGAAACCUGCCCCAAAGAUUGGGAUAAGCCUUGGAAACGAGGUCUAAUACCAAAUACCUUCCUUUAACACAUGUUAAAAGAGAAAUGCUCCGGCGCUUUGGGAUGGUCUCGCGAUCUAUCAGCUUGUUGGUGAGGUAACGGCUCACCAAGGCAUCGACGGAUAGCUGGUCUGAGAGGAUGUCCAGCCACAUUGGAACUGAGACACGGUCCAAACUCCUACGGGAGGCAGCAGUAGGGAAUCUUGCACAAUGAGGGAAACCUUGAUGCAGCGACGCCGCGUGCGGGACGAAGGCCCUAGGGUUGUAAACCGCUUUCAGUAGGGACGAAAGUGACGGUACCUACAGAAGAAGCCCCGGCCAACUAUGUG